RNAcentral lists this ribosomal RNA (484 nucleotides) under uncultured bacterium. RNAcentral's name for it is "partial 16S ribosomal RNA". It matches the Rfam family "Bacterial small subunit ribosomal RNA", at positions 29 to 523 of the family's 1533-position model. The record is from RNAcentral.
AGUGAACGCUGGCGGCGUGCUUAACACAUGCAAGUCGAACGAGAACGGGUUAUAGCUUGCUAUAAUUGUCAGCUAAGUGGCGCACGGGUGAGUAAUGUAUAGGUAAUAUGCCUCUUACUAAGGGAUAACAAAUGGAAACGUUUGCUAAUACCUUAUACUCCUUAUUAACAGAAGUUAAUAAGGGAAAGAUUUAUUGGUAAGAGAUUAGCCUGUAUUGUAUCAGUUAGUUGGUGGGGUAAUGGCCUACCAAGACUAUGACACAUAACUGGUUUGAGAGGAUGAUCAGUCACACUGGAACAGAGACACGGUCCAGACUCCUACGGGAGGCAGCAGUGGGGAAUAUUGCACAAUGGACGAAAGUCUGAUGCAGCAACGCCGCGUGGAGGAUGACACAUUUCGGUGCGUAAACUCCUUUUAUAUGAGAAGAUAAUGACGGUAUUAUAUGAAUAAGCACCGGCUAACUCCGUGCCAGCCGCCGCCGUAA